UAGAGUUUGAUCCUGGCUCAGAUUGAACGCUGGCGGCAGGCCUAACACAUGCAAGUCGAGCGGCAGCGGGAAAGUAGCUUGCUACUUUUGCCGGCGAGCGGCGGACGGGUGAGUAAUGCCUGGGGAUCUGCCCGGUCGAGGGGGAUAACUACUGGAAACGGUAGCUAAUACCGCAUACGCCCUACGGGGGAAAGCAGGGGACCUUCGGGCCUUGCGCGAUUGGAUGAACCCAGGUGGGAUUAGCUAGUUGGUGAGGUAGUGGCUCACCAAGGCGACGAUCCCUAGCUGGUCUGAGAGGAUGAUCACCCACACUGGAACUGGGACCACGGUCCAGACUCCUAUGGGAGGCAGCAGUGGGGGAAUAUUGCACAAUGGGGGAAACCCUGAUGCACUCAUGCCGUGUGUUUGAAGAAGGCCUUCGGGUUGAAAGCCCUUUCAGCGAGGAGGAAAGGUUGGUAGCUAAUAACUGCCAGCUGUGAUGUUACUCGCAGAAGAAGCACCGGCUAACUCCGUGCCAGCAGCCGCGGUAAUACGGAGGGUGCAAGCGUUAAUCGGAAUUACUGGGCGUAAAGCGCACGCAGGCGGUUGGAUAAGUUAGAUGUGAAAGCCCCGGGCUCAACCUGGGAAUUGCAUUUAAAACUGUCCGGCUAGAGUCUUGUAGAGGGGGGUAGAAUUCCAGGUGUAGCGGUGAAAUGCGUAGAGAUCUGGAGGAAUACCGGUGGCGAAGGCGGCCCCCUGGACAAAGACUGACGCUCAGGUGCGAAAGCGUGGGGAGCAAACAGGACUAGAUACCCUGGUAGUCCACGCCGUAAAC
RNAcentral lists this ribosomal RNA (814 nucleotides) under uncultured bacterium. RNAcentral's name for it is "bacterial SSU rRNA". It matches the Rfam family "Bacterial small subunit ribosomal RNA", at positions 1 to 807 of the family's 1533-position model. The record is from RNAcentral.